GCGCAGAAGGCGUGAAAAGAUCAAUGAAAGCUUUGAAGCAUUGAGAAAAAUUCUCCCUACAGAAGCCAAGAAAGACAAAGCAUCGGUGCUUACUCGAACAAGGGAGUACUUAACCUCUCUGAAAGCUCAAGUCGAAGAGCUUAGCAAGAGAAACCAGCAAUUAGAGGCACAAGUACUACAACAACUACCAGCGAAAGAAGUAGCGCAAGAAGAAAGUGAGACCUCAUCAACUGAAAGAGUUGAACUCCGGCUUGCACAUGUCUCUGAAUCAACCUCAGAAGAACAAAGAAUCAUCGACCUUCA
This 303-nucleotide unclassified non-coding RNA is filed under the name Hevea brasiliensis (rubber tree). The record is from RNAcentral. Lineage: Eukaryota; Viridiplantae; Streptophyta; Magnoliopsida; Malpighiales; Euphorbiaceae.